UAGGAUAGGUGGGAGGCUUUGAAACGGGCACGCUAGUGUUCGCGGAGCCGCCCUUGAAAUACCACCCUGGACCUAUUUGGUAUCUAACACCGACCCAUGAAUCUGGGCGGUGGACAGUUUCAGUUGGGCAGUUUGACUGGGGCGGUCUCCUCCUAAAGAGUAACGGAGGAGCCCAAUUGGUACCCUCAGCCUGGUUGGCAAUCAGGCAUCGAGCGUAAAGGUAGAAGGGUGCUAAACUGCGAGACUGAUAGGUCGAGCAGGUACGAAAGUAGGGCUUAGUGAUCCGGUGGUCCCGCAUGGAAGGGCCAUCGCUCAACAGAUAAAAGGUACUCCGGGGAUAACAGGCUUAUC
Molecule: ribosomal RNA, 351 nt
Filed under: Durinskia baltica
Lineage: Eukaryota; Dinophyceae; Peridiniales; Kryptoperidiniaceae
Description: partial Bacterial large subunit ribosomal RNA
Rfam family: Bacterial large subunit ribosomal RNA
Source: RNAcentral